Molecule: long non-coding RNA, 760 nt
Organism: Oncorhynchus tshawytscha (Chinook salmon)
Lineage: Eukaryota; Metazoa; Chordata; Actinopteri; Salmoniformes; Salmonidae
Source: Ensembl
CCUAUAUCCACUCUAAUUGCACAAGGCGUUCAAAAACUUUACAGUAGUAACAUUGCCAAUAUGAUACAAUAUUUCAGAUGGUUAUUGGAGAGAUUAUUAUUAUUAUUGCCAUUAUUAGUAUCUGCUUUAGUGUUAUGCCUAACCUUUUAGCAGCUAAUUAUUUUGUUCAUAUUAUUUCUCGAACAUCAAUAGGACUAUGGAUGUGCAUAGUUUACUUUAUUUUAUUUAUUUUACCUUUAUUUAACUAGGCAAGUCAGUUAAGAAAAAAUUCUUAUUUUCAAUGACGGCCUAGGAACGGUGGGUUAACUGCCUGUUCAGGGGCAGAACGACAGAUUUGUACCUUGUCAGCUCGGGGAUUUGAACUUGCAACUUUCCGGUUACUAGACCAACGCUCUACCCACUAGGCUACACUGCAACCCUGCUUUCGGGCUACGGAGAAAAACGUAUUGCAGCAGGUCUUUUCGUCAACGAAUUUGACUUUCAAACCAAAAAGUUAUGGCAUGGAUAUAUUUACAAGCUUCGUUUUAGAGAAUUUGGCAGUAUGUCCAACCGGCCUCACAACCGCAGACCACGUGUAACCAUGCCAGCCCAGGACAUCCACAUCCAGAUCACCUGUGGGAUCGUCUGAGAACAGCCACCCGGACAGCUGAUGAAACUGAAGAGUAUUUCUGUCUGCAAUAAAGCAGACACUUAUUCUAAUUGGCUGUGCUUGACUCCCAAGUGGGUGGGGCUAUGCCCUCCCAGGCCCACCCAUGUCUAC